RNAcentral lists this ribosomal RNA (726 nucleotides) under Siminovitchia thermophila. RNAcentral's name for it is "bacterial SSU rRNA". It matches the Rfam family "Bacterial small subunit ribosomal RNA", at positions 799 to 1521 of the family's 1533-position model. Lineage: Bacteria; Bacillati; Bacillota; Bacilli; Caryophanales; Bacillaceae. The record is from RNAcentral.
GGCGCAAAGAAUGAAUGGCUAGUGGUUAGGGGGUUUCCGCCCCUUGGUGCUGCAGCAAACGCAUUAAGCACUCCGCCUGGGGAGUACGGCCGCAAGGCUGAAACUCAAAGGAAUUGACGGGGGCCCGCACAAGCGGUGGAGCAUGUGGUUUAAUUCGAAGCAACGCGAAGAACCUUACCAGGUCUUGACAUCCCACUGACCGCUUUAGAGAUAAAGCUUACCCUUCGGGGACAUUGGUGACAGGUGGUGCGUGGUGUGUCCUCAGCUCGUGUCGUGAGAUGUUGGGUUAAGUCCCGCAACGAGCGCACCCCUUGAUCUUAUUUGCCAGCAUUGAGUUGGGCACUCUAAGGUGAGUGCCGGAGACAAACCAGAAGAAGGUGGGGAUGACGUCAAAUCAUCGUGCCCCUUAUGACGUGGGCUACACACGUGCUACUAUGGAUGGUACAAAGGGCCGCGAGACCGCGAGGUGGAGCGAAUCCCAUAAAACCAUUCUCAUUUCAGAUUGCACGCUGCAUCUCGUGUGCGUGAAGCCAGAAUCGCUAGUAAUCGUGUAUCAGCAUGCCGCGGAGAAUACGUUCCCGGGUCGUGUACACACCGCCCGUCACACCACGAGAGUUUGUAACACCCGAACUCUGUGGGGUAACCUUAUAGACCCAGCCCCCGAAUGUGGGACAUAAGAUUGGUGUGAACUCUCAGGGGUCCCCCCCAAAAAAUUUUUGGGGGGGG